AUUGGGAUAGUUUAAUAGGUUAAAACCUUAAUUUUAUAAGUUAAAGAUAAGAAUUCGAGUUUCUCUUUUAGUU
RNAcentral lists this transfer RNA (73 nucleotides) under Coniochaeta ligniaria NRRL 30616. It matches the Rfam family "tRNA". Rfam says of the family: Transfer RNA (tRNA) molecules are approximately 80 nucleotides in length. Their secondary structure includes four short double-helical elements and three loops (D, anti-codon, and T loops). Lineage: Eukaryota; Fungi; Ascomycota; Sordariomycetes; Coniochaetales; Coniochaetaceae. The record is from Rfam by way of RNAcentral.